UGGGGAAUAUUGGACAAUGGGCGCAAGCCUGAUCCAGCCAUGCCGCGUGUGUGAAGAAGGCCUUCGGGUUGUAAAGCACUUUUGUCCGGAAAGAAAUCCUUUCGAUUAAUACUCGGGAGGGAUGACGGUACCGGAAGAAUAAGCACCGGCUAACUUCGUGCCAGCAGCCGCGGUAAUACGAAGGGUGCAAGCGUUACUCGGAAUUACUGGGCGUAAAGCGUGCGUAGGUGGUUCGUUAAGUCUGAUGUGAAAGCCCUGGGCUCAACCUGGGAAUGGCAUUGGAUACUGGCGACCUAGAGUGCGGUAGAGGGGUGUGGAAUUCCCGGUGUAGCAGUGAAAUGCGUAGAUAUCGGGAGGAACAUCUGUGGCGAAGGCGACACCCUGGACCAGCACUGACACUGAGGCACGAAAGCGUGGGGAGCAAACAG
Molecule: ribosomal RNA, 428 nt
Filed under: uncultured bacterium
Lineage: Bacteria
Description: bacterial SSU rRNA
Rfam family: Bacterial small subunit ribosomal RNA
Source: RNAcentral